This 1109-nucleotide ribosomal RNA is filed under the name Microvelia longipes. Its description in RNAcentral is "partial 16S ribosomal RNA". The stretch from base 855 to 1014 matches the Rfam family "Archaeal large subunit ribosomal RNA", at positions 2542 to 2701 of the family's 2987-position model. Lineage: Eukaryota; Metazoa; Arthropoda; Insecta; Hemiptera; Veliidae. The record is from RNAcentral.
UUGCAUCAGGGUUUAUUAAUUUAAAUUAAAAAUUUAUUUUUCUCGAAAUCAUAAGAUCAAAAAUAAAAUGUUUUUUAUUGUAUUAUAUAUAUUUAUAAUUUUAUUUUUGAGGUGACAUGCUUUUCAUUUAUGAUUAUAUCUAGUUUUUUAAUAAUUAAAUUUAAUUUAGUUUACACAAGUUUUUUUUAUCUAAAUUAUUAAAAGUUUGUGUAAUUAAAUCAGUUAGGGAUAAGCUUGAUUGAUUUUUUAAAAAGUCUAUUUUUUAAAUUUUUUAUAGGAUUGAUAAUUUCCAUUUUUAUUUUUUUAUAAUUACCUUUUUAUUUAAAAGAUUUUUUUAAUUUUAAUUUUUUAUUAAAUUUUUAAUAUUAAUUUAUUUUAUUUUUAAUAAUGAUAAAAUUAGUAAUUUUUAUAAUUUAAAUAUAGUAAUUCGGCAAAAUUAAUUUUCACCUGUUUAACAAAAACAUGGUCUUUUGUUUUUUAUUUAAGAUCAGGCCUGCCCAUUGAUUUUUAAGAAUUAAAAGGCUGCGGUAUUUUAACUGUACUAAGGUAGCAUAAUCAUUUGUCUUUUAAUUGAAGGCUAGUAUGAAUGGUUUAAUGAAAAAUUAACUUUCUUUAUUUAAUUUAAUUGAAUUUAAUUUUUAAGUUAAAAAGCUUAAAUUUUUAUAUAGGACGAGAAGACCCUUUAGAAGUUUACUUUUUUUAUUAAAAAAUUUUUUUUGUUUUUAAAUAUAUUCUUUUUGAAUAAAAAGUUUUGUUGGGGUGACAGUAAAAUUUAAUUAACUUUUAUUAUUUAUUUCAUUAAUAUAUGUUUUAUUGAUCCAAAAUUUUUGAUUAUAAGAUUAACUUACCUUAGGGAUAACAGCGUAAUUUUUUUGGAGAGUUCAUAUCGAUGAAAAAGUUUGCGACCUCGAUGUUGAAUUAAGAUUAGAUUUGGGUGUAGAAUUUCAAUUUUCUUGGUCUGUUCGACCAUUAAAUUCUUACAUGAUUUGAGUUCAGACCGGCGUGAGCCAGGUCGGUUUCUAUCCUUAAUUUAUAUAAUUUAGUACGAAAGGACCAUUUAUAUUAAUUAAAUUAUAAUUUUUUGAUUAAAAUUAAAAAAAAAAAAAAAA